AACGAACGCUGGCGGCAGGCCUAACACAUGCAAGUCGAGCGCACCUUCGGGUGAGCGGCGGACGGGUUAGUAACGCGUGGGAACGUGCCCAGAUCUAAGGAAUAGCCACUGGAAACGGUGAGUAAUACCUUAUACGCCCUUCGGGGGAAAGAUUUAUCGGAUUUGGAUCGGCCCGCGUUAGAUUAGGUAGUUGGCGGGGUAACGGCCUACCAAGCCUACGAUCUAUAGCUGGUUUUAGAGGAUGAUCAGCAACACUGGGACUGAGACACGGCCCAGACUCCUACGGGAGGCAGCAGUGGGGAAUCUUAGACAAUGGGGGCAACCCUGAUCUAGCCAUGCCGCGUGAGUGACGAAGGCCCUAGGGUCGUAAAGCUCUUUCGCCAGGGAUGAUAAUGACAGUACCUGGUAAAGAAACCCCGGCUAACUCCGUGCCAGCAGCCGCGGUAAUACGGAGGGGGUUAGCGUUGUUCGGAAUUACUGGGCAUAAAGCGCGCGUAGGCGGAUCGGAAAGUUGGGGGUGAAAUCCCAGGGCUCAACCCUGGAACUGCCUCCAAAACUAUCGGUCUAGAGUUCGAGAGAGGUGAGUGGAACUCCGAGUGUAGAGGUGAAAUUCGUAGAUAUUCGGAAGAACACCAGUGGCGAAGGCGGCUCACUGGCUCGAUACUGACGCUGAGGUGCGAAAGUGUGGGGAGCAAACAGGAUUAGAUACCCUGGUAGUCCACACCGUAAACGAUGAAUGCCAGUCGUCNGGUAGCAUGCUAUUCGGUGACACACCUAACGGAUUAAGCAUUCCGCCUGGGGGAGUACGGUCNCAAGAUUAAAACUCAAAGAAAUUGACGGGGGCCCGCAC
Molecule: ribosomal RNA, 850 nt
Filed under: uncultured Alphaproteobacteria bacterium
Lineage: Bacteria; Pseudomonadati; Pseudomonadota; Alphaproteobacteria
Description: bacterial SSU rRNA
Rfam family: Bacterial small subunit ribosomal RNA
Source: RNAcentral